Molecule: ribosomal RNA, 253 nt
Filed under: uncultured bacterium
Lineage: Bacteria
Description: partial 16S ribosomal RNA
Rfam family: Bacterial small subunit ribosomal RNA
Source: RNAcentral
UACGUAGGGUGCAAGCGUUGUCCGGAAUUAUUGGGCGUAAAGAGCUUGUAGGCGGUUUGUCGCGUCUGCUGUGAAAUUUCGGGGCUCAACCCCGAACUUGCAGUGGGUACGGGCAGACUAGAGUGUGGUAGGGGAGAUCGGAAUUCCUGGUGUAGCGGUGAAAUGCGCAGAUAUCAGGAGGAACACCGGUGGCGAAGGCGGAUCUCUGGGCCAUUACUGACGCUGAGGAGCGAAAGCGUGGGGAGCGAACAGG